RNAcentral lists this transfer RNA (69 nucleotides) under Ictidomys tridecemlineatus (thirteen-lined ground squirrel). RNAcentral's name for it is "Spermophilus tridecemlineatus (thirteen-lined ground squirrel) tRNA". It matches the Rfam family "tRNA". Rfam says of the family: Transfer RNA (tRNA) molecules are approximately 80 nucleotides in length. The record is from Rfam by way of RNAcentral. Lineage: Eukaryota; Metazoa; Chordata; Mammalia; Rodentia; Sciuridae.
GGGGUUGUGGCUCAUUGGUAGAGUGCUUGCCUGGCAUGUGAGAGGCCCUGGGUUCCAUCCUCAGCACCA